This 253-nucleotide ribosomal RNA is filed under the name uncultured bacterium. RNAcentral describes it as "partial 16S ribosomal RNA". It matches the Rfam family "Bacterial small subunit ribosomal RNA", at positions 524 to 776 of the family's 1533-position model. The record is from RNAcentral.
UACGUAGGGGGCAAGCGUUAUCCGGAAUUACUGGGUGUAAAGGGAGCGUAGACGGUAAUGUAAGUCUGGAGUGAAAGGCGGGGGCCCAGCCCCCGGACUGCUCUGGAAACUAUGUUACUAGAGUGCAGGAGAGGUAAGCGGAAUUCCUAGUGUAGCGGUGAAAUGCGUAGAUAUUAGGAGGAACACCAGUGGCGAAGGCGGCUUACUGGACUGUAGCUGACGUUGAGGCUCGAAAGCGUGGGGAGCAAACAGG